This is a non-coding RNA of Nylanderia fulva, 320 nucleotides long. NCBI's taxonomy places the organism in Eukaryota, Metazoa, Arthropoda, Insecta, Hymenoptera, Formicidae. The record is from RefSeq and is a predicted model, not a curated record.
UUGAUAUAUAAAUCGAUGGAACCUCCAGAGUACAAUCUAUCGAGUAUCACGCUACCAAUGGCGAUAUACUAUGGCAACAAUGACUUGAUGCUAGAUCCUAUUGAUGUGAAGAGGGUUUACAAUUUACUUCCCAACGUAAUAGAUAUGUACGAAGUGCCGUGGCCCAAUUUUAAUCACGUGGAUUUUGUAUUUGCUAAUAAUGCGCCAAAACUUUUGUACGAAAGAGUUUUGAAGGUCAUAAAAGGAAAAUAUCAAAGCAAUGUAACAACGAUAUGAAAAUAGAUACAUUUUAAUGAUGUAGAUGUUAAAUAAAUAAAUAA